GAUGAACGCUGGCGGCGUGCCUAAUACAUGCAAGUCGAGCGAACAGACGAGGAGCUUGCUCCUCUGACGUUAGCGGCGGACGGGUGAGUAACACGUGGAUAACCUACCUAUAAGACUGGGAUAACUUCGGGAAACCGGAGCUAAUACCGGAUAAUAUAUUGAACCGCAUUGUUCAAUAGUGAAAGACGGUUUUGCUGUCACUUAUAGAUGGAUCCGCGCCGCAUUAGCUAGUUGGUAAGGUAACGGCUUACCAAGGCGACGAUGCGUAGCCGACCUGAGAGGGUGAUCGGCCACACUGGAACUGAGACACGGUCAAGACUCCUACGGGAGGCAGCAGUAGGGAAUCUUCCGCAAUGGGCGAAAGCCUGACGGAGCAACGCCGCGUGAGUGAUGAAGGUCUUCGGAUCGUAAAACUCUGUUAUUAGGGAAGAACAAAUGUGUAAGUAACUAUGCACGUCUUGACGGUACCUAAUCAGAAAGCCACGGCUAACUACGUG
This 497-nucleotide ribosomal RNA is filed under the name uncultured bacterium. RNAcentral's name for it is "partial 16S ribosomal RNA". It matches the Rfam family "Bacterial small subunit ribosomal RNA", at positions 28 to 507 of the family's 1533-position model. The record is from RNAcentral.